UGGGGAAUAUUGCACAAUGGGCGCAAGCCUGAUGCAGCCAUGCCGCGUGUAUGAAGAAGGCCUUCGGGUUGUAAAGUACUUUCAGCGGGGAGGAAGGCGAUAAGGUUAAUAACCUUGUCGAUUGACGUUACCCGCAGAAGAAGCACCGGCUAACUCCGUGCCAGCAGCCGCGGUAAUACGGAGGGUGCAAGCGUUAAUCGGAAUUACUGGGCGUAAAGCGCACGCAGGCGGUCUGUCAAGUCGGAUGUGAAAUCCCCGGGCUCAACCUGGGAACUGCAUUCGAAACUGGCAGGCUAGAGUCUUGUAGAGGGGGGUAGAAUUCCAGGUGUAGCGGUGAAAUGCGUAGAGAUCUGGAGGAAUACCGGUGGCGAAGGCGGCCCCCUGGACAAAGACUGACGCUCAGGUGCGAAGGCGUGGGGAGCAAACA
This 427-nucleotide ribosomal RNA is filed under the name uncultured bacterium. RNAcentral's name for it is "partial 16S ribosomal RNA". It matches the Rfam family "Bacterial small subunit ribosomal RNA", at positions 355 to 774 of the family's 1533-position model. The record is from RNAcentral.